CGGGUGAGUAACACGUGAGUAACCUGCCCUUGACUCUGGGAUAAGCCUGGGAAACUGGGUCUAAUACCGGAUACGACCAUCUGGCGCAUGUCAUGGUGGUGGAAAGCUUUUGUGGUUUUGGAUGGACUCGCGGCCUAUCAGCUUGUUGGUGGGGUAAUGGCCUACCAAGGCGACGACGGGUAGCCGGCCUGAGAGGGUGACCGGCCACACUGGGACUGAGACACGGCCCAGACUCCUACGGGAGGCAGCAGUGGGGAAUAUUGCACAAUGGGCGCAAGCCUGAUGCAGCGACGCCGCGUGAGGGAUGACGGCCUUCGGGUUGUAAACCUCUUUCAGUAGGGAAGAAGCCGUAAGGUGACGGUACCUGCAGAAGAAGCGCCGGCUAACUACGUGCCAGCAGCCGCGGUAAUACGUAGGGCGCAAGCGUUAUCCGGAAUUAUUGGGCGUAAAGAGCUCGUAGGCGGUUUGUCGCGUCUGCUGUGAAAGACCGGGGCUCAACUCCUGUUCUGCAGUGGGUACGGGCAGACUAGAGUGCAGUAGGGGGAGACUGGGAAUUCCUGGGUGUAGCGGUGAAAUGC
RNAcentral lists this ribosomal RNA (578 nucleotides) under Paenarthrobacter ilicis. RNAcentral's name for it is "bacterial SSU rRNA". It matches the Rfam family "Bacterial small subunit ribosomal RNA", at positions 103 to 689 of the family's 1533-position model. The record is from RNAcentral. Lineage: Bacteria; Bacillati; Actinomycetota; Actinomycetes; Micrococcales; Micrococcaceae.